UAAUGGUGGGAACUCCAGGGAGACUGCCGGUGAUAAACCGGAGGAAGGUGGGGACGACGUCAAGUCAUCAUGGCCCUUACGAGUAGGGCUACACACGUGCUACAAUGGCGUAUACAGAGGGCUGCCAACCAGCGAUGGUGAGCGAAUCCCAGAAAGUACGUCGUAGUCCGGAUUGGAGUCUGCAACUCGACUCCAUGAAGUCGGAAUCGCUAGUAAUCGUGGAUCAGAAUGCCACGGUGAAUACGUUCCCGGGCCUUGUACACACCGCCCGUCACACCAUGGGAGUGGGCUGCACCAGAAGUAGAUAGCUUAACCUUCGGGAGGGCGUUUACCACGGUGUGGUUCAUGACUGGGGUGAAGUCGUAACAAGGUAGCCCUAGGGGAACCUGGGGCUGGAUCACCUCCUUA
This 408-nucleotide ribosomal RNA is filed under the name Photobacterium swingsii. Its description in RNAcentral is "partial 16S ribosomal RNA". It matches the Rfam family "Bacterial small subunit ribosomal RNA", at positions 1126 to 1533 of the family's 1533-position model. RNAcentral also lists the same sequence under 1 other name. Lineage: Bacteria; Pseudomonadati; Pseudomonadota; Gammaproteobacteria; Vibrionales; Vibrionaceae. The record is from RNAcentral.